GGAAUGGCAAAAGUUACAAAUGCUUAUGAUCUUCCUGCUAGGAGGGUCAUACAUACUGUUGGUCCCAAGUAUGCUGUAAAAUACCAUAUUGCUGCAGAGAAUGCGCUAAGCCAUUGCUAUCGCUCUUGCUUUGAGCUUCUUAUAGAAAAUGGGCUGAAGAGCAUUGCUAUGGACUGUAUAUAUACAGAAGCGAAAAGUUACCCACGAGAACCAGCUGCUCAUGUGGCAAUAAGUGAGAUAUCU
Molecule: unclassified non-coding RNA, 243 nt
Filed under: Hevea brasiliensis (rubber tree)
Lineage: Eukaryota; Viridiplantae; Streptophyta; Magnoliopsida; Malpighiales; Euphorbiaceae
Source: RNAcentral